RNAcentral lists this transfer RNA (73 nucleotides) under Canis lupus familiaris (dog). It matches the Rfam family "tRNA". Rfam says of the family: Transfer RNA (tRNA) molecules are approximately 80 nucleotides in length. The record is from Rfam by way of RNAcentral. RNAcentral also lists the same sequence under 1 other name. Lineage: Eukaryota; Metazoa; Chordata; Mammalia; Carnivora; Canidae.
ACCUAGCUGGCUCAGUCGGUAGAGCAUGCAACUCUUGAUCUCAGGGUUGUGAGUUCGAGCCCCAUGCUGGGUA